AAGUAUAACCAUAGAGGGUGAUAGUCCCGUAUGCGAAAAACAAACCUUAGCUAGCAGUAUCCUGAGUAGGGCGGGACACGAGGAAUCCUGUCUGAAUCCGGGUCGACCACGAUCCAACCCUAAAUACUAAUACCAGAUCGAUAGUGCACAAGUACCGUGAGGGAAAGGUGAAAAGAACUGAGGUGAUCAGAGUGAAAUAGAACCUGAAACCAUUUGCUUACAAUCAUUCAGAGCCUUAUGUAGCAAUACAGGGUGAUGGACUGCCUUUUGCAUAAUGAGCCUGCGAGUUGUGGUGUCUGGCAAGGUUAAGCAAACGCGAAGCCGUAGCGAAAGCGAGUCUGAAUAGGGCGCUUAGUCAGAUGCUGCAGACCCGAAACGAAGUGAUCUAUCCAUGAGCAAGUUGAAGCUAGUGUAAGAACUAGUGGAGGACUGAACCCAUAGGCGUUGAAAAGCCCCGGGAUGACUUGUGGAUAGGGGUGAAAGGCCAAUCAAACUUCGUGAUAGCUGGUUCUCUCCGAAAUAUAUUUAGGUAUAGCGUUGUGUCGUAAUAUAAGGGGGUAGAGCACUGAAUGGGCUAGGGCAUACACCAAUGUACCAAACCCUAUCAAACUCCGAAUACCUUAUAUGUAAUCACAGCAGUCAGGCGGCGAGUGAUAAAAUCCGUCGUCAAGAGGGAAACAACCCAGACUACCAGCUAAGGUCCCUAAAUCUUACUUAAGUGGAAAACGAUGUGAAGUUACUUAAACAACCAGGAGGUUGGCUUAGAAGCAGCCAUCCUUUAAAGAAAGCGUAAUAGCUCACUGGUCUAGUGAUUUUGCGCGGAAAAUAUAACGGGGCUAAAGU
Molecule: ribosomal RNA, 843 nt
Filed under: Campylobacter jejuni
Lineage: Bacteria; Pseudomonadati; Campylobacterota; Epsilonproteobacteria; Campylobacterales; Campylobacteraceae
Description: partial 23S ribosomal RNA
Rfam family: Bacterial large subunit ribosomal RNA
Source: RNAcentral